CGCACCCUCUCCGCCACCAAGACACCCAAAAGGAAGGUCAGCUCAGCUUAGCCAAAGGGUGGUGAAGGAAGAGCCCAAGAGAAGACCUGCAAGGUUGUCAGCUAACCCUAAAGUGGAAAGGAAGCCCACAAAGGCAGCAGGAAAGGAUAAAUCUUCAGACAAAAAAGAGCAGACAAAAGGGAAAACAGGAUGAGGUGGCUAACCAGGAAGCCAAAGAAGCUUUACCUGCAGAAAAUGAAGAACUAAAAAAAUGAGGAGAGUCCAGGCUCUGAUGAAGCCCAGAGAAGGAAGCUGACUC
This 298-nucleotide long non-coding RNA is filed under the name Homo sapiens (human). RNAcentral's name for it is "non-protein coding lnc-CEP63-3:1". The record is from RNAcentral. Lineage: Eukaryota; Metazoa; Chordata; Mammalia; Primates; Hominidae.